AGAAAUAUUUCCACCUAAUUGAUGGAUGUAUCUGCUAAGAAGACCAUGACUACCAACAGGCCUGCGCUUGCCAAGAGUCACCACCAGCCUCUGACCCCUCAGAAAGCCAACCCCACUAAUUUACUGAUGCCCUAAGGGGAAGUCGGCCCCAGAAGAUAAGAAAAGGACCCUGAGAGCCAUCUAGAACACAUGCCAGGAAGACUCCUUGAAAUUAUUACCAAAUUUCGAAUUCUCCAAAAAGAAUUUCAAAUAACAAAAACAAUGAUUGAGAACUCAACAAUUUCACACAAAAAAUAUUAAAGCCCCAGA
This 309-nucleotide long non-coding RNA is filed under the name Homo sapiens (human). RNAcentral's name for it is "HSALNT0233485". The record is from RNAcentral. Lineage: Eukaryota; Metazoa; Chordata; Mammalia; Primates; Hominidae.